AUACUUACCUGGCAGGGGAGAUACUAAGUGAUCGCCAAAGUGGUUUUUGCAGGGUGAGGCUCUUACAUUACAUUUAGGAAAUGUGGGAAACUCAACUGUGUAAUUUCUUUUUUUUUUUAAAGAUUUUAUUUAUUUAUUUGAC
This 142-nucleotide small nuclear RNA is filed under the name Zalophus californianus (California sea lion). Its description in RNAcentral is "U1 spliceosomal RNA (ENSZCAG00015012158.1)". It matches the Rfam family "U1 spliceosomal RNA". Rfam says of the family: U1 is a small nuclear RNA (snRNA) component of the spliceosome (involved in pre-mRNA splicing). Lineage: Eukaryota; Metazoa; Chordata; Mammalia; Carnivora; Otariidae. The record is from RNAcentral.